Non-coding RNA from Acanthosepion pharaonis, 113 nucleotides. The record is from the annotation of a GenBank genome assembly. Lineage: Eukaryota; Metazoa; Mollusca; Cephalopoda; Sepiida; Sepiidae.
UUACGGUCAUAUCACAUUCAAACACCAGUUCUGAUCAGAUCACUGAAGUUAAGCAAUGUCAAGGUUGGUCAGUACCUAGAUGGAUAACCACUUGAGAAUACCAAGAGCUGUAA